This 1823-nucleotide long non-coding RNA is filed under the name Salvator merianae (Argentine black and white tegu). RNAcentral describes it as "lncRNA (ENSSMRG00000009033.1)". Lineage: Eukaryota; Metazoa; Chordata; Lepidosauria; Squamata; Teiidae. The record is from RNAcentral.
CAGAAGCGCCAUACUGGUGCUAUAUUCCCCCUGUCUGAUGGGGCCAAAUUCCUCAAGAAUCCCAAAUGAUGAGUCUGCAAGGGUGGAAAGUGUGGCUGAGGCUUCAACAUGGUAUCCACACUGCAAUACGGAUGGAGACAGGAAGUCUUCCCCAUGGCCUAUGCCACGUGAUGCAAUGGUGUCUCUCAGCUGAAUGAGCAAUUUAAUACCAGCAAAUCUCCUACCAGUAUGCAAGACUGCUGAUGCGGUAAAGGCAUCUUUAUGUACAAGCUGCCUUUUCAAAGGCUCAAAGAGGGAACCCUCACUGUAUUUCCAACCAGCAGUUUUUAAAGGAGUAUAUCCAUUGUGCUGUUCUGUUCUGAGUGCUGAGGCGAUGACACCUCCCUAGUUCAGAUAGAUGCCAGUUUGUCCCCCAAAGGAAGCUGCCUUCUUAAUUUAGAACAACGGCACCAACAGUUGAAGAUGGACAUCCUUCUGGCUUAUGGGUUGUGGAUGCUUCUCAGUCUUUCCACUGCAAAUGCCACCUGGUGCCAUAACUGUGAGAAGAGAUCCCCCGAAGAUGUCUGUCCCAUUACACAGGAGUUCUGCUGGGCAGGUCCAACAGCAGGGUGCUUCACAAAGAACCGCUACCUUGGAGGAAGCACAAUUGGUACAGAAACCGGUUGCAUCCAUGAAUGCCAGAAUUUCAAAAGGGGUGGCAGUUUCCUGUGGUUNGAAGUCUAUUGCUGUUUCACAGACUACUGUAAUGCAUAGUUGCAGAAAUGGCAGGGCUCUGGCUAGGGAUUGGGUUCCAGAUAACCACCGUCUGGAUCUUUUAGCCCAGCCGAGAUCCCUUGCUGCUCUUCUUCCUUUUAACCUUUCUAAAGCAGACAGACUUCACUUACAGGCUGGUUUUGCCUCUUUCCCUCAAAUUUAGCAUUGAUGCUUAUAUGUUCGCCUUUGCGGCUAGAAGCAAAUCGGUCAGACAGGCCUUUUAAAGUCUUAGCAGACCUCUUCCAACACUCAAGCUUUUUGCUUAUACUCAACUCCAUUUCUGUAUCUGUGUCAUUGUCGUGCAGUUCAGCGACUUCUCUUGCUCCUCGCAUUUUGUUGCCGAAAUCAGAUUAACCUUCGAGACAAGCUGUUCAAGUGCAAAGGACACACCUUGGAAUCCUUUCCUCUGUAUCUGUAAUUGGUUCCCCACAGUGAUAAAUUCCUCCUGAUAGUNCCCUUGCUGAAUGAGAGGAAUUCUUGGAACCAGCUCUACCUCCAAUCCUUUUAUUUUAGCCAGGAAAAAGUUGCUAUGCAAGAGAAAUAGCUAAGUCAUAGAUGGUCUCAUAGGUGUGAUUCUUUUCAUGNCCCNCCAGAAGAUANUUAUGGGAAACCACUUCUGUNUCUGCUCUGAGAAUUGCAGGCAUAUGUGUAUGUGUUACCAGAAGUAGUCCUGACUUCCUUUUUAGCUUCUAGAUCCAAUUCAGGGUGUUAAUGCUGACUUUUAAAGCCUUUGGGUCCCAAAUAUUUGAAGGACGGUGUCCUCCCAUACAGAUAUGUCCGACAUCUAUGGUCCUUGGGAGAGGCUCUCCUUUGGGUCUGUCACUUGAGGUUGCCCUUGAUAAACAACCAGGAAGAGAGCCUUGUCUGUGGUGGCCCCCAGGCUAUGGAACAACCUUUCUGCAGAAAUUUACCAGGCAGUAACAGGGAGCAGUCUUCACCAAAUGGUCAAAGUUGCAUUUGUUUAAUUUGGCGUUAGAUCUUUAAGGGUAUUUUAUGUAUAUUUUAACCUCCUAUUUUAUCNUUUUCUUUUUAUUUCAUUUUGUAAGCCACCCUGAGACUGAAGUAUUGGG